CCUACGGGUGGCUGCAGUAGGGAAUAUUGCUCAAUGGGCGAAACCCUGACGCAGCAACGCCGCGUGGAGGAUGAAGGUUUUCGGAUUGUAAACUCCUUUUGUUAGAGAAGAUAAUGCGGGUAUGUAACGAUUAAGCACCGGCUAACUCCGUGCCAGCAGCCGCGGUAAUACGGAGGGUGCAAGCGUUACUCGGAAUCACUGGGCGUAAAGAGCGCGUAGGCGGGGUAGCAAGUCAGAUGUGAAAUCCUAUGGCUUAACCAUAGAACUGCAUUUGAAACUGUUAUUCUAGAGUACGGUAGAGGAAGGUGGAAUUCUUGGUGUAGGGGUAAAAUGCGUAGAGAUCAAGAGGAAUACUCAUUGCGAAGGCGACUUGCUAGACUAUAACUGACGCUGAUGUGCGAAAGCGUGGGGAGCAAACAGGAUUAGAUACCCGUGUAGUC
Molecule: ribosomal RNA, 440 nt
Filed under: uncultured bacterium
Lineage: Bacteria
Description: partial 16S ribosomal RNA
Rfam family: Bacterial small subunit ribosomal RNA
Source: RNAcentral